UUUAUCUAGCAUAAUGGCUUUAUUGAACAGUUUGAAUGGUUGAACAGACAGUGCAAAUUCCAGUUUUCAUUUUAAUCACGUGUACAAGUGGCUCAGUCCUUAAUGGGUCAAACAAUUUCUAUAUAAGCACAUUUCUCAAUAUUGGGGAAACAAAUAUAAAGAAGUUAAAGCCAAUGUGGUUUAGUACAAGAGCCAUUCAAAUAGAGAUAAGAAAGUUGAAUUUAAUGUAUCCUAUAGCAAAUAUAAGCUUGCAAAAGAGUUUAGAUGGACUAAACUUUCUUUAAAAAAACAAAAACAAAAAAAAAAGAACACUUCUAGGCAAAGAGAGCAAGACCCACACCAAAGGUGUUUUUUUUUUUUUUUU
This is a non-coding RNA of Pelobates cultripes (western spadefoot toad), 364 nucleotides long. NCBI's taxonomy places the organism in Eukaryota, Metazoa, Chordata, Amphibia, Anura, Pelobatidae. The record is from the annotation of a GenBank genome assembly.